UUAAUGUUAAAUUCCGUUUGAUCUUAAUUGAAAGGAGGCACAGAGUUACAGGAAACAGACCCUUGCAUUGAAAAGGCCAUGGUAAUAUGUUUAGAGUUUCCCAAGAAACAGAAGGAGAUCUUGAGAGCACAGCCAUUUGAAAGCGAAGUUAAGCCCUUAACACCUCACAGCGGCAAAACCCUUCUGUGGUGCUUCAGAAGCCUUGGCUCUGGGAGUCAGUUUCUUCUCAUUCAAGAUAGGACCAGAAAUUUCAUUUUGCUUUUGAAGCAGGUUCUUGACUUCUUGAGGUCCAAGACUUUUAGAACUCCGAAGAACGAAUAACACAGAGAGAAAGGAAUGUGUCUGGAGUAACUUUGUGGCCACUCUAGGAAGAUUUAUUUUGUUUAUUUGAAAGGUGGAGUUACAGAGAGAGACAGAGAAGACAGAGAGAAAUCCUCUAUCCACUGGUUCACUCCCCAGAUGUCUGCAACAACCAGGGCUGGGCCACACCGAAGCAAAGAUCCAAGAGCAGGAAAAGUCUAGAGGAAGACUACUGAGAGAAAUGAGUUGAAAUCUUGUUCAGAUCACUUGUUGGAUAAGGUGUUUUGCCUUUUCAAGUAUUAGCUGUCUUGUCUGUAAUAUAUGUAGUUUUCCUUUGAUUCAAAGGAACAGGUCUGUUUAGUAUGUGAUACUUGCUAAGUGGUCAAUAAAAUAUUUAUUCAGAGUCAACAUUUUUUUAAGAAACUGGUGUUUAUUUUCCAUCAACUUUAUUUCA
This is a non-coding RNA of Oryctolagus cuniculus (rabbit), 754 nucleotides long. Lineage: Eukaryota; Metazoa; Chordata; Mammalia; Lagomorpha; Leporidae. The record is from RefSeq and is a predicted model, not a curated record.